Long non-coding RNA from Rhea pennata, 454 nucleotides. RefSeq lists it as uncharacterized. The transcript is spliced from 2 exons. NCBI's taxonomy places the organism in Eukaryota, Metazoa, Chordata, Aves, Rheiformes, Rheidae. The record is from RefSeq and is a predicted model, not a curated record.
CUGCAAAGCUGGUGUCGGCGAGAGUUUGGACUCGCAGCCGUAGUUCACGUGCGCAGCAUGCGGAGUCUUGGUGCACUGCUUUGCAGGUUUUGGGGCUACAUGGCUCGAUGUCGAUAACUGUCUGAGUACAAAGAUGCUGUAGGCUAGAUAAUGCCUUGAGUAACCUCCGUACAACCUCCCUGAAGAAUAAUGAAGACUUCAGAUUCAGAGAACAGCGUAAGACAAAAGCCUGUGCAACUAAAACCAGGAUUUGAUCUGCGCAAUGACUGUAAGCAGCAGCAAUGGAUGAAUAGAAGCUGCUUUAGAGUCCAGGAGGAAUUGGGUAAGACUUUUUUUCUCCCCUCCAUUUUACUCUGAGAUCAUCCCUUCAAGAGAGGAGCGAAUUAACACAUACAUCUCUUCUGUUAAUAUCUUAGCAGUUCAGGAAUUAAGAAUAAAAAUGGUAUUUGCUUAA